CAUAGAAGUAGACUCCACAAAGAUACUUUGGAAGCAUUGAUGUGUACACAGAGUUGGUUACGAAAUAAAAUAGAAGAACCAAUCACAAGUGGAACAAGUCUUUCAACCAUUGAGAGUGAUGCGGAUGAAGAAGAGUAGUGAGAAAUGACUAAUGAGCAAGAGCUUGUAGCUGCUACUUAAUGAUCUAAAAUUAUGGAGCACCUUUUUUGUC
Molecule: long non-coding RNA, 211 nt
Organism: Tripterygium wilfordii
Lineage: Eukaryota; Viridiplantae; Streptophyta; Magnoliopsida; Celastrales; Celastraceae
Exons: 3
Source: RefSeq, a predicted model, not a curated record